This 253-nucleotide ribosomal RNA is filed under the name uncultured bacterium. RNAcentral describes it as "partial 16S ribosomal RNA". It matches the Rfam family "Bacterial small subunit ribosomal RNA", at positions 524 to 776 of the family's 1533-position model. The record is from RNAcentral.
UACAGAGGGGGCAAGCGUUGUUCGGAAUUACUGGGCGUAAAGGGCUCGUAGGUGGCCAACUAAGUCAGACGUGAAAUCCCUCGGCUUAACCGGGGAACUGCGUCUGAUACUGGACGGCUUGAGUUUGGGAGAGGGACGCGGAAUUCCAGGUGUAGCGGUGAAAUGCGUAGAUAUCUGGAGGAACACCGGUGGCGAAGGCGGCGUCCUGGACCAACACUGACACUGAGGAGCGAAAGCCAGGGGAGCAAACGGG